AGUUAGCAGAACAUCGGAUUUGUAGUCGGUCGUGCGCUGAAUACUAUCAUCUAACUCGUGAGCUGCAUGUUGAACCAAGUCGAUAAACAGCCGACUCAACUGAGUCUAUCAUUCUUAGUCGGCCACGCCUCAGUCGAUGGAAGGCUGAUUGGAGAGAGGCCUAUUGGUCGGAGUUGGGUUGAACUAUAAUAGUCUGAUCGGUGGAGUGCAGAU
This 213-nucleotide long non-coding RNA is filed under the name Elaeis guineensis (African oil palm). RNAcentral describes it as "long non-coding RNA (EGUI_LNC004544)". Lineage: Eukaryota; Viridiplantae; Streptophyta; Magnoliopsida; Arecales; Arecaceae. The record is from RNAcentral.